RNAcentral lists this ribosomal RNA (433 nucleotides) under uncultured bacterium. RNAcentral describes it as "partial 16S ribosomal RNA". It matches the Rfam family "Bacterial small subunit ribosomal RNA", at positions 29 to 507 of the family's 1533-position model. The record is from RNAcentral.
AACGAACGCUGGCGGCAUGCCUAACACAUGCAAGUCGAACGAAACCUUCGGGUCUAGUGGCGCACGGGUGCGUAACGCGUGGGAACCUGCACUUAUGUUCGGAAUAACUCCCCGAAAGGGGUGCUAAUACCGGAUAAUGUCUUCGGACCAAAGAUUUAUCGCCUUUGGAUGGGCCCGCGUUGGAUUAGCUAGUUGGGAGGGUAAAAGCCUACCAAGGCGACGAUCCAUAGCUGGGCUGAGAGGAUGAUCAGCCACACUUGGACUGGGACACGGCCCAGACUCUUACGCGAGGCAGCAGUGGGGAAUAUUGGACCAUGGGCGAAAGCCUGAUCCAGCAAUGCCGCGUGAGUGAUGAAGGCCUUAGGGUUGUAAAGCUCUUUUAACCGGGAUGAUAAUGACAGUACCGGGAGAAUAAGCUCCGGCUAACUCCGUG